RNAcentral lists this ribosomal RNA (331 nucleotides) under uncultured eukaryote. RNAcentral's name for it is "partial 18S ribosomal RNA". It matches the Rfam family "Eukaryotic small subunit ribosomal RNA", at positions 592 to 975 of the family's 1831-position model. The record is from RNAcentral.
CAAUAGCGUAUAUUAAAGUUGUUGCAGUUAAAAAGCUCGUAGUUGAAUUUCGGGUCCCCGCGCUCGGCGCCUCAUUGUGCCGUCGUGGUGUCCCUCCUCGCCGUAAGGCGUCCUUUACUGUGAAAAAAUUAGAGUGUUCAAAGCAGGCAAUCGCUUGAAUACAUUAGCAUGGAAUAAUAAGAUAGGAUCUUGUCUAUUUUGUUGGUUGCGGACAACGAUAAUGAUUAAUAGGGAUAGUUGGGGGUGUCCGUAUUGAGCUGUCAGAGGUGAAAUUCUUGGAUUUGCUCAAGACGAACUACUGCGAAAGCAUUCACCAAGGAUAUUUUCAUUA